UUUCCAUAUAAAUACGAUAUAAACAAAAAUGAGCUAUAUAGCCAGUAGCCACGACAGUGUGGGCAUUAGCAGAGCUAUAAAAUUGACGGGAGACUUUUCGUAACCGUACCAAUGGCCGCAAUAGCUAUGUGGACAAGGAUCUGUUAAUCAGUUGUCAUAUCAUACAAUAUCAAAACUUAACUCCAGCCGAGUAGGUUUGUAAGUGGAGGAAUACAAGAAGAAAACUGGUAUUUACAUUGUCAGCCAGAGCAUUCGCCUCUAUUACCGCGUCUGAUGACUAAACCAAUCAACAAUUCCUCAUUGAAGGUGUGUGCAAUGCAUAAAAAAUAGAAGCAUUAAGUCUAGUUUAACGUUUAUUUAAUAAAAUAAUUGUUGUGUCUUUGAUUUUAAUAAAGAGCCAAUGGGUAUACUAUGGUUA
This is a long non-coding RNA of Stomoxys calcitrans (stable fly), 418 nucleotides long. RefSeq lists it as uncharacterized. The record is from RefSeq and is a predicted model, not a curated record. NCBI's taxonomy places the organism in Eukaryota, Metazoa, Arthropoda, Insecta, Diptera, Muscidae. The transcript has 2 exons.